This 466-nucleotide ribosomal RNA is filed under the name uncultured bacterium. Its description in RNAcentral is "partial 16S ribosomal RNA". It matches the Rfam family "Bacterial small subunit ribosomal RNA", at positions 28 to 507 of the family's 1533-position model. The record is from RNAcentral.
GACGAACGCUGGCGGCGUGCUUAACACAUGCAAGUCGAACGGAAAGGCCCUGCUUGCAGGGUACUCGAGUGGCGAACGGGUGAGUAACACGUGGGUGAUCUGCCCUGCACUUCGGGAUAAGCUUGGGAAACUGGGUCUAAUACCGGAUAGGAGCCAUCUUUAGUGUGGUGGUUGGAAAGUUUUUUCGGUGUAGGAUGAGCUCGCGGCCUAUCAGCUUGUUGGUGGGGUAAUGGCCUACCAAGGCGGCGACGGGUAGCCGGCCUGAGAGGGUGUACGGCCACAUUGGGACUGAGAUACGGCCCAGACUCCUACGUGAGGCAGCAGUGGGGAAUAUUGCACAAUGGGCGCAAGCCUGAUGCAGCGACGCCGCGUGGGGGAUGAAGGCCUUCGGGUUGUAAGCUCCUUUCGCUAGGGACGAAGCGUUUUUGUGACGGUACCUAGAUAAGAAGCACCGGCUAACUACGUG